This is a non-coding RNA of Danio rerio (zebrafish), 1851 nucleotides long. The record is from RefSeq and is a predicted model, not a curated record. NCBI's taxonomy places the organism in Eukaryota, Metazoa, Chordata, Actinopteri, Cypriniformes, Danionidae.
AGCCGUGAAAACAUAUUUGUCCCUCUUGCAGGGAGUGGUCCACUGAUGAACGGCUGAAUUUUCAAUCUUUCAGCUGUUUCCAAAAUCUCACAGAAAUCUUUCUUAAGCAGUUCUGACUGCUCCUUCCGAAUAUCAUUCUUCCCCACAUGGAUGAUAAUCCGUUUUGCAGUAUUGUGCUUUUUCAGAAUUUCCUCAAGUUCUUUAUUUAUAUCAUAAAUUGUCGCAUGAGGAAAGCAGUAUGUCAUGGUAGCUCUGCUCCCAAAAUUUUUGAUUAUUGAGUCUCAAACAAUCAAUAUUCUUAUCUCUGUUGCGAUCGGAGCAGAAUGCCACUGUCUAGUCGGCCUUGAGCCUCUGUUCAGUGCAAAGGUAAUUGCUGAGUCAUGCGAUCUCUGUCUAACUGCAUUUGGGGAUUCUUCACCCAUAUUACUCAAAACUUCAUAUCUGUUCUGAAGCUGUAUUUGAGUCCGAGCUGUAUUUGCUGUAGAGAACGCUAAUGCAGCAGCGUAUGACCUUUGUGAUCUGACCCCACGAGUACCCUUUGGUCUUGCACCUUGUUUAUGCCAUAGUUCACGCUGAUUUUCAACAGUUUCAAUCUGUUUUUCUCUUCUCAAAACAGUAGCUGGAGUAGAUUUAUAGGGCUUACCGGCUGAAUGCUGUGAGGCUCCAAGAUAAACCAGUCCUGUGUAAUUCGACAGUUCUGGUCGGAUCGCAAGUAACUUUGUUUCAAGAACUACAAUCUUUUGUAAAAGUUUGUGGCAGUUGGUGCAGCAGGGAGAUUCCAAAUCAAUAUAAUCCAGAGCCAUUUUCACAGCCAUGUUUUCUCGUCUCAGGAAUGAAAGUAGCUGGUAGCAGGAGGAUUAUUUAGACGAUAAUUCCUCUUUUGCUGGUAAAGUUGUAUUCCAGAAAGUUUGUAGAUUCGAUGUUGAUCUUCAAGCUGUUUCGUUUGAGCACUGUGCUGAUAAGCUCAAGUUAAAAUUAGAGUAUAAAAUAUAAAAGCAGGAGUGGUAGCAGGAGCAGUAGGCAAAGACCUCCGAACAGUAGCGAAGCUUAAGGUAAACCUAAACUUAAGUAGCUUAAGGUAAACACAUCUCACCUGGCAUGUAUAUCUAUUUUUUAUUUUUUUUGCUGCUAUGCCCAUUGCUAUUAUCACUGCAAAAAUUAAAAUCUUUUUCAUCCGUUACUCUCUCGUAUAUACACUAUUUACCUUGAGUUUAAAACAUCAUCUAAACAAAAUCUAAAAUAUUUUAAAUCUAAUUAUGGGAUUUAAUCUAUAAAGUAAUUAUGUUUUUAAAAUAAGGAACACAUUUUUAUAUUUUUAAAAAAUGCUUUUUAACUUACUAAAAUCCAUGCUUCCUCAAAAUGUUUAACUUUCUUUUGUGGCAUAAUGAAAGGAGAAAUGAUGGCUGAAUAAAGCUUCUUGAAUAAUAAAACUUUGCAGAAAUGAAGUUCUGUUUUUAUGUUUUAGGUGAUCUCAGUGUGCUUUGAUGGAUCGCUUUGUAUGUACAUAAGUUAAACGAGAAGCAGCUUCCAGAACGUACUUUUUAAGGAAACAUGGUAUGCCCAAAGUUGAAAUAAUAGUCCAGUCCUGGAGUCAUUGAAGAGAGUCUGAGGAACAUACGAAAGCAUCUGAUGCACUUGAGAGGCCACAAGGAGAGAGGGAAGAUGCACCAAGCAGGACAGUCAUGCCAGAUAAUGGGUAGACUUAAUUUUUAAAACAGUAGUUUAAAAAACCUGCUUUCUUAAACCCCAUAACUUUAAGAUGUCAAGUGAAAAGACUUUUUUGUUUAGCUCAUACUCAUAGGUUGCUGGUGCCCUUAAAUAAUACUACUAAUAAAAACAAUUAGUGCAAUG